CGAAACUUUGGAACAACAGCUGGCAUUUGAGAAAGAGGAGUACAAGAGCCUCCUCUGCAGAGUUCUGCAGCACGCUGGGGAGAAAAGGGAGCUCCUCACGGAGAUUAAAACUCUCCAAGAACAGCUGGAGAGGUGAGAAAUAUUUAGAAGGGAAUCCUUCCUUCCUUGCUUCCAUGAAUCGAUGCGUUGGAGGAAGAGGUAGAACGAGAAAGAAAGGAAUAUAAAAGCUUCCUCUGUAGAGUUCUGCAGCAAGCUGGGGAGAAACAGGAGCUCCUCACGGAAAACAAAAGACUGAAGGAACAACUGGACAGCUGAGAAAUAUUUAGUAUCACCUAUCAUCUAUCAUGAGAGGGCUAAUUUCUGCUUUUCAUCAUUUACAGGAAUUCAAAAAUGUUUGAAGAAAUGGUAAAAGAAAGAGUCCAACUUAAAGAAGAAAUAAAAGACCUUAAAAUGAAGAACUGGAAGUUGAGCGAGGAGAAGGCGACCAUCCUGCGGAAUUUCAGGGAGAGGCUGAGGAGAGGCAGAGACCGACCACCAUGCUGAAGGGGCUGAAACAUCAGGAGGAGGACUUGGAAAAUCUGCUGAGGAUCCCAAGAUGGCCAGAAACAUCUGCCAGGAGCUUCAAGUACAGGGAGCCUCCUCCUCCCCUCCCCCUCUUCCUCCCCCUCCCCCUCCUUUCCCUCCUCGCCCCUUCCUCCUCACCAAGGAGAAAUGAUUCUCUGUCUCAGCCACAUCCAGCCAUCCCUGAAAAGUGCAGGACAACAGAAGAACGUGGUCUCCUCGCUCAACUUCCAUAGUCCUGGAACUGACCAGACUUGAAUGACCAGAGUGUCCAACAGUGGCUCAUGUCUGCAUUCUUGUCUUAUCACUUCACAAGUGUGCAGCAGGAGGCCCCAAACACUGGGAGCUCCAGAACAAAUCUUCUGGAAUCUUCUUCUGAAAUCAGGAAUUCAAAAAUGUUUGAGGAGAUGGUUGAGGAACGAGUGGAGCUAAAAGAUGAAAUAAAAGAACUCAGAUUGAAGAACCAGAAUUUGAGCGAGGAGAAGGCAACAAUCCUGCAGAAUUUCAGGGAGAGGCUGAGAAGCCAGAGACUCCAUCACUCACCAACCGCCAUGUUGAAGGGGCUGGAACAUCCCAUGGGGAAGGAGAGGACCAGGAGGAGGACUUGAAGAACUAGGAAAAGCUCCCGAGGAAUCCCAAAAUGGAUUGAAACAUCUAUUGUACUACAAACACCCCUACAUUUCUAAAAUAAAGUUC
Non-coding RNA from Pantherophis guttatus, 1257 nucleotides. The record is from RefSeq and is a predicted model, not a curated record. Lineage: Eukaryota; Metazoa; Chordata; Lepidosauria; Squamata; Colubridae.